RNAcentral lists this long non-coding RNA (501 nucleotides) under Cricetulus griseus (Chinese hamster). RNAcentral describes it as "lncRNA (ENSCGRG00000025675.1)". The record is from RNAcentral. Lineage: Eukaryota; Metazoa; Chordata; Mammalia; Rodentia; Cricetidae.
CUCAAGUUUGCCUUGUUUGAACACUUCAGUUGGAAUAGUAGUCUCUUUCUUUGCCAUCCUUUUAUUUUGUUUUUUUUUUGGGGGGGUUGUUUGUUUGGUUUGGUUUGGUUUUGAGACAGGAUUUUUCUGUGUAGCCCUGGCUGUCUUAGAUCUCUCUGUAGACCAGACGGGCCUUGAAUUCAGAGUGCCACCUGCCUCUGCCUCCUAAGCACUGGGAGUAAAGGUGUGCGCCACCACUGCCCAUCUUACCCAUACUUAUCUCUAAUGACAGCACGGACCCCGGGACCUCAGGAGUCUUCUUAUUUGAGUAAUGGAGUCACUGGACCCAGGGCUUUGUGCAUGCUGGGCAUUCUAUCCACCAAGACAGAGCCUCAGCUUGCAAGUUCUAUUUCUAUCAGAAACUGCCUGGAAGCUAAAGCAAUAGAUGCAGAUGCUGAAUGGCCAUUAUUGUGGACUGCUUGCCACUUAAGUUCCACAUUCCUCAGUUUCCUCAUAUGUAAG